UACGUAGGGCGCAAGCGUUGUCCGGAAUUAUUGGGCGUAAAGAGCUCGUAGGCGGUUUGUCGCGUCUGCUGUGAAAACGCGAGGCUUAACCUCGCGCCUGCAGUGGGUACGGGCAGACUAGAGUGCGGUAGGGGAGACUGGAAUUCCUGGUGUAGCGGUGGGAUGCGCAGAUAUCAGGAGGAACACCGGUGGCGAAGGCGGGUCUCUGGGCCGUUACUGACGCUGAGGAGCGAAAGCAUGGGGAGCGAACAGG
Molecule: ribosomal RNA, 253 nt
Filed under: uncultured bacterium
Lineage: Bacteria
Description: partial 16S ribosomal RNA
Rfam family: Bacterial small subunit ribosomal RNA
Source: RNAcentral